Molecule: transfer RNA, 73 nt
Filed under: Bos taurus (domestic cattle)
Lineage: Eukaryota; Metazoa; Chordata; Mammalia; Artiodactyla; Bovidae
Also listed under: 2 other names
Rfam family: tRNA
About the family: Transfer RNA (tRNA) molecules are approximately 80 nucleotides in length. Their secondary structure includes four short double-helical elements and three loops (D, anti-codon, and T loops).
Source: Rfam by way of RNAcentral
UCCCAGGUGGUCCAGUGGUUAAGACUCUGCACUUCCACCGCAGAGGGUAUGGGUUUGAAUACUGGCCAGGGAA